This 497-nucleotide ribosomal RNA is filed under the name uncultured bacterium. Its description in RNAcentral is "partial 16S ribosomal RNA". It matches the Rfam family "Bacterial small subunit ribosomal RNA", at positions 28 to 507 of the family's 1533-position model. The record is from RNAcentral.
GAUGAACGCUGGCGGCGUGCCUAAUACAUGCAAGUCGAGCGAACGGAUGAGGAGCUUGCUCCUCUGAUGUUAGCGGCGGACGGGUGAGUAACACGUGGAUAACCUACCUAUAAGACUGGGAUAACUUCGGGAAACCGGAGCUAAUACCGGAUAAUAUUUCGAACCGCAUGGUUCAAAAGUUAAAGAAGGUAUUUCUUUCACUUAUAGAUUGACCCGCGCUGUAUUAGCUAGUUGGUAAGGUAACGGCUUACCAAGGCGACGAUGCAUAGCCGACCUGAGAGGGUGGUCGGCCACACUGGAACUGAGACACGGCACAGACUCCUACGGGAGGCAGCAGUAGGGAAUCUUCCGCAAUGGGCGAAAGCCUGACGGAGCAACGCCGCGUGAGUGAUGAAGGUCUUCGGAUCGUAAAACGCUGUUAUUAGGGAAGAACAUAUGUGUAAGUACCUGUGAACAUCUUGACGGUACCUAAUCAGAAAGCCACGGCUAACUACGUG